RNAcentral lists this unclassified non-coding RNA (609 nucleotides) under Hevea brasiliensis (rubber tree). The record is from RNAcentral. Lineage: Eukaryota; Viridiplantae; Streptophyta; Magnoliopsida; Malpighiales; Euphorbiaceae.
AUAUUAGUGUUGUCCAGCCAAGCUUUCAAGUUUAUUCUGAAAAAACACCCAAAUAAUGUAAUUGGAGCAAGGAAUGUGGGAAUACAAGCAUCCAUCCUGUUAAAGGAACCCUUUUUCUUUUCUUUUUUUUUUUUUUUUGAAAAAUGGGCCAAUUGCUUUUGUAAAUGGAACAAAGGAAUUGUUAUAACUUAUCCAUGUGGUACAUGGUACAUUGAUUCAGAAAAUUACUUAUCACAAGGAUUCAAAGAAUCCCAUUUUCAAAUUCAGAAAAUUACUUAUCACAAAGAUUCAAAGAAUCCCAUUUUCAACAUUCUUCCAACUUUCACACAAUGAACACUAUUCUUUUGUGAACUGCCACCAGCUUUACUAAGGCAUAAGUUGCCCCAAUUACUUGCCAUGAGAGCGUUAACAAGGUCAGCACGAUCCCUCUGCACUAAGAGCAGCCGCGGCGGCAGGGACGGAGGCGUCGACAUCGAACAUGCCAAACGUAUCCUUGUUGUCGUUACUCAUCGUUAGUGGAUUCAGGAAGCUGUUUGGGAAGCGAGAAAAUGAAACAGAGAAACGAGAGUGGAGAUCCUAGAAAACGAGGGAAAAUCCAGAGUGAGGUGC